GAAUAGGGCGUUUAGUAUUUGGUCGUAGACCCGAAACCAGGUGAUCUACCCUUGGUCAGGUUGAAGUUCAGGUAACACUGAAUGGAGGACCGAACCGACUUACGUUGAAAAGUGAGCGGAUGAACUGAGGGUAGCGGAGAAAUUCCAAUCGAACCUGGAGAUAGCUGGUUCUCUCCGAAAUAGCUUUAGGGCUAGCCUCAAGUGAUGAUUAUUGGAGGUAGAGCACUGUUUGGACGAGGGGCCCCUCUCGGGUUACCGAAUUCAGACAAACUCCGAAUGCCAAUUAAUUUAACUUGGGAGUCAGAACAUGGG
RNAcentral lists this ribosomal RNA (312 nucleotides) under Staphylococcus aureus. RNAcentral's name for it is "partial 23S ribosomal RNA". It matches the Rfam family "Bacterial large subunit ribosomal RNA", at positions 685 to 995 of the family's 2925-position model. Lineage: Bacteria; Bacillati; Bacillota; Bacilli; Caryophanales; Staphylococcaceae. The record is from RNAcentral.